RNAcentral lists this ribosomal RNA (253 nucleotides) under uncultured bacterium. RNAcentral describes it as "partial 16S ribosomal RNA". It matches the Rfam family "Bacterial small subunit ribosomal RNA", at positions 524 to 776 of the family's 1533-position model. The record is from RNAcentral.
GACAGAGGGUGCAAACGUUGCUCGGAAUCACUGGGCGUAAAGGGUGCGCAGGCGGCCAAGUGUGUCAGGUGUGAAAUCCCGAGGCUUAACCUCGGAACUGCGCCUGAAACUACUUGGCUAGAGUACUGGAGAGGGUAACGGAAUUCACGGUGUAGCAGUGAAAUGCGUAGAUAUCGUGAGGAACACCAGAGGCGAAGGCGGUUACCUGGACAGUUACUGACGCUCAGGCACGAAAGCGUGGGGAGCAAAAGGG